RNAcentral lists this long non-coding RNA (936 nucleotides) under Mus caroli (Ryukyu mouse). RNAcentral describes it as "lncRNA (MGP_CAROLIEiJ_G0006643.1)". The record is from RNAcentral. Lineage: Eukaryota; Metazoa; Chordata; Mammalia; Rodentia; Muridae.
UGGGGAAGAUGGGAGAGCUGGAGGAGAGUCGUGGGGUCCGAGGAGCACCUCGGCAUCUGGAGUCUGGCAGGAAUGUUGAAGGACUGAGGGGCUAGCUCAGGCAGAGCAAAGGCAUCGCAGAGGCUGGAAAACAUCCGGAGUGAGGCUGAAGGGCCUGAGCUAGGGUUGGAGAGGAAUGGGGAGCCAGACAUUCAUCCCGGUUACUUUUGGUUACAGGACGUGGCGGCUGGUCGGAUAAAGGGGAGCUGCUGGGAAGGGUUCGACCCCAGACCUGGGCAGUGAAGGUAUAGCUGGCAGCGGUGGGCAGGUGAGGACCGCCGUCUGCUGGGCAGGUGAGUCUCCUUCGUCUCUCUUGGCCUCGCUCCACUGACCUUCUAAACGAAGGUUUAGAGAGGGGGCCCGGUGAGAAGAAGCGGCUGGCCUCGCAGCAGAAUGGCACAUAGAAAGGCAGGACAGUUAGCAAAGGAGACAUCGUCUCGGGGGGAGCCGAGACAGAAGAAGGCUGGGGGACCAUUGGCCACCCCGGGUGGAAAGAGCACUUAGAGAAAAGAAAGAAGAGGUGCAGGGUUGCCAGUAAAGACUGAGGCCACUGCCUCCAGGGAGGUGAUAGGAGUCCUUGGAGACAGUGGCAGAGACCAUGGGAUCCAGCAAGAACAGAAGCAUUCUAGGCUGGGGUCAAACAGGGCACUGGCCUCCAGAGUCCGUGGCCAAGGAGGGCCUUGCGGGCGGCGACGGAGCAGUGAUCGGUGUCUCGAAGAGCUCGGACUGGAGACUAGGCCAGGUCUCCAGCAGAGGUGGAUGUGCCUGCCAGUCACUGAAGGCGAGGAUGACAGGUGUGGUCAACAUGACAGAAAGACAUGACAUGGUCCGGUGUGAUGGAGAGGACAGAAGGGCAGUCAUCCAGCCUUCCUGAACACCAUGGGCUGGCGCCGUGUC